Molecule: ribosomal RNA, 276 nt
Filed under: uncultured bacterium
Lineage: Bacteria
Description: partial 16S ribosomal RNA
Source: RNAcentral
CUGCUGCCUCCCGUAGGAGUCUGGUCCGUGUCUCAGUACCAGUGUGGGGGGCCUUCCUCUCAGAACCCCUACGCAUCGUCGCCUCGGUGGGCCGUUACCCCGCCGACUUGCUAAUGCGCCGCAUGCCCAUCCGUGGCCGGGAUUGCUCCCUUUGGCGGCCUUGGGAUGCCCCAAGGCCGCGUUACGCGGUAUUAGACGGGGUUUCCCCCGCUUAUCCCCCUGCCACGGGCAGGUUGCAUACGUGUUACUCACCCGUGCGCCGGUCGCCGGCAACGG